RNAcentral lists this unclassified non-coding RNA (387 nucleotides) under soil metagenome. Its description in RNAcentral is "partial contains 5.8S ribosomal RNA, internal transcribed spacer 2, and large subunit ribosomal RNA". The stretch from base 1 to 120 matches the Rfam family "5.8S ribosomal RNA", at positions 35 to 154 of the family's 154-position model. The record is from RNAcentral.
GAUGAAGAACGCAGCGAAAUGCGAUAAGUAAUGUGAAUUGCAGAAUUCAGUGAAUCAUCGAAUCUUUGAACGCACCUUGCGCUCCUUGGUAUUCCGAGGAGCAUGCCUGUUUGAGUGUCAUGAAAUUCUCAACCUUUUCAGCUUUCUUUGUUUAUCAGGCUUGGAUGUGGGAGUAUGCGGGCUUCUCAGAAGUCGGCUCUCCUGAAAUGCAUUAGCGGGACCUUUGUUGCCUGGCUUUGGUGUGAUAAUUAUCUACGCCAUUGUAGUCAAGCAGCUUAAAAUGAGGUUUCAGCUUCUAACCGUCUCCCCUGAGACAACUUUUUGACAAUUUGACCUCAAAUCAGGUAGGACUACCCGCUGAACUUAAGCAUAUCAAUAAGCGGAGGA